UACGAGGGGGGCUAGCGUUGCUCGGAAUCACUGGGCGUAAAGCGCACGUAGGCGGCUUUUUAAGUCAGAGGUGAAAUCCUGGAGCUCAACUCCAGAACUGCCUUUGAUACUGGAGAGCUUGAGUCCGGGAGAGGUGAGUGGAACUGCGAGUGUAGAGGUGAAAUUCGUAGAUAUUCGCAAGAACACCAGUGGCGAAGGCGGCUCACUGGCCCGGUACUGACGCUGAGGUGCGAAAGCGUGGGGAGCAAACAGG
RNAcentral lists this ribosomal RNA (253 nucleotides) under uncultured bacterium. Its description in RNAcentral is "partial 16S ribosomal RNA". It matches the Rfam family "Bacterial small subunit ribosomal RNA", at positions 524 to 776 of the family's 1533-position model. The record is from RNAcentral.